GAUCAGAGUGAGGCAGGCUAAAGAGAAGCAUUUGGGAAAGGGAGUUUCAGAGCCAAGCUCAUCUUACCCCACAGACAACCGGGGGUUCUUUCAGUGUCCCAGGAUGGCUGAGACUUGGAGCAUGGCGCUGAUCGCAAGGAAUGCUCAAAGUCUGCAGAGGAAUAGGAGGAUUGGCUCACGGUCACCAGGCCCAGUAGAUUCGUACCAUCUGCUGUAGUUUGGGACUGGAAUGUCCUCCAUAGGUCCAUGUGUUGAAGGCUCUGUCUCCAGUGUGGCACUGUUGGGAGGUGGUGGAAGCUUUAAGGGAUCAGCCCCAGAAGAUGGUCUUUAGGUCCCUGGAGGUGAGUUUUUCUUCUUUCUCUUUUUUGCUUCCUGGUCUUGAAGUAAACAGUUCUGUGUCACUUUACAGGCCCAAAGCAAUGGCCAGUUGGAUCAUGGGCUGAAAUCUCCAAAGCUGUGACAAUAAACCUUUUUUUCAAUAAGUUAAUUGUUUCAGAUAUUUGUUACAGUGGCAGAAAUCUGACUAAUACACCAUCCCUGUCCAUUUCUGUCCUCUCCUGCUGCCAUUCUUCUAGUUUAGGCCUCAUAUUCUCUAACUUGGGCUCUUGCAAGGUCCUAGCUGGCCUGCCUGACUCCUUUUUCUAAUCUACAUAGAGAGCAACUUGAGUUGUCUUUUCUAUUUUUCAUUACUUAUAUAAUUAGAAAAAGAGUUUAAAAAGUACAAAGUAUACAGAUACUAUAGCUAACUCACAUAUCAAUGAAAACUAACUUUCUACCAUAUUUUAUCCAUCAUUUAUCCUUUAUUGAAACAGAAUACAUAAGAAAAUGUAGCAUAAUUGUACUGGUGUUAAUUUUCUGAAAAUGGACAUAGCCACAUAACCAGCAUUACAAAACGAAACAGAACCAUCCCAGGCUCCUCUUCUACCCUCUUCUUGUAUCCUCCACACUGCCCCCAUCAAGGUAACCACUGUCCUCAAUCUAACAGUCUAGGUAGGUUUGCCUAUUUGUGAACGUCAUGUAAAUACAGUUGUUCAGUGUGUGCUCUUUCAGUGUGGUAUUUAUUUUGAACUUUCUUUUCUUUUCUUUUCUUUUUUUUUUGAGAAAGAUAUUUUAAAAGAUAAAGACUCCUGUGUUCUAAUUCUUUGAAUUCUUUUUCCUUUGACAAGCACAUCAUAAAUGUGAUAAUGUAUGCAGCCCAUGUCCUUACAGGCUUGCGUAUGUGGAUAGCUUUGUUUUGGAGGUGUUACUGUCUGUAUUUAAGCGAAGGGUUUUAUGAUAUAAGGAAGUUCUGUCACUUGCUUACUUCACACAAUGAGAUUUCUAAAUCACACAGGGUGAUGUGACUCACUUUCCUUUUUGAACACAUACCUCCCCUCUUUCUAAACUGUCCAUUCCUGGAAGAAAGAGUAAUGUUUUAUUGCUUCUUUGUAUCCUGUGAUGCUUUAUGAAGAUAUUUAGGGAAUGGAUGUGUCAACGAAACCAUGAGCAACUUGGUUGGUUCAUGGACAACCAUAUUCCGUAUUUCUUCCUCUGUUGGCCCCUUUUUGGAGAAUGACAUCUUCUUUUUCUUUUCCUUUCUUCUUUAUUUUUUGCUUCUUUAUGUAUGUCUAUUAGAAGCUCCAAAGACUUAAGUCCAUAGGCAAACCCAGCAUAGAAAUUUGACUUCAUAAAAUGUUCCUUCAGAAGAGAUAGGCAUUGCAGAGCUGGUGUGAUCUUUGCAGGUUGUGCCUCACCUGUUUUUCUGGAAUGGGGGACAAUGGUGUUCUAUCUAGGGUUUUUCUUACUAUAAACAGAAUUAUAGAAAUCUGAGGUGGUUACCACAUUUGAUUCACACCUUAACAUAAUUGGCAAAAUAUCACUCAUCUUCCAGGUUAGCCUUCCCUGGGGUUUCUGUUGAAUUCUCUUGGUUCUUCUAGGCUUCCUGGAUUUGAGACCACAACCAGAGGGAGAUGGGUCCCUGUUGACAUUCUGAGACACCAUCUCAAGACUGUGUCGGGUGAAGGAAAAUGGCCCUGUCAUGCCUCACUAUCGCUGAUGACACCAAGACCUGGAACUUCAUCCUUCCUUGGGACUUAGAUUCUAUGGUCCUACCUCUCACCAACACUCACCCAGAGUUGUCUUAGUACUCUAAUGCAGGGUAAUGGAAAAAUUUCCGUUUUAGUUUGUGAUGGGAACCUUGGUGUGUCUUCAUCUGGAUGACGUGGACGAGUCUGGGAGUGCUCUGAUCCCCAGCAUUCUUAACUGUGCUGUGGACAUAAUAUUACUUUUUCCAUGAAUUUUUUGGGAGAAUGAAACUGUGAGUUAUAAAGAUGUGAAAAUUGUACUCAAUCUAUUUUUCUACUGUGUACACAGGUAGACAAAAGGCUAGAAAGAAAUAGAUGUGUUAAAAUACAUAUACUCCCACUGAAUUUUUGAGUCUGGCUUUUGUUUAUUUAUAUUUUUAAUUUUUAUUUUUGUAGUGGGGAUUGAACCCAGGGGUGCUCUACCACUGAGCUAUGUAUCUUUUUUAUUUUUUAUUUUGAGUUACGGUUGCCUAGGUUGGCCUCAAACUUUGCAAUCCUCCUGCCUCAGCCUCCUGAGUCACUGGGCUUAUAGGUAUGCACCAUUGGCUUUCUUUCUAAAUAAUUUAUCAUGUGCAUUUCCCUAUCUCAUUAUGAAUACUCACUCUCCAUUGUUUUUUGAAGUUGCAUAAGAUUCUACCAUCUGGUUGCACCUAACUGCUUCCACAUUAUGAGCCCUUUAUUUAUUUUCAAUUUUUCACCAAGGAGAGUUCUGAGGUCAGCCAAGCCUAUUUUUUUUCCCUCUUUUUAACCUUUUGCUUUGCUUUGUUUUGCUUUCAGCCUGAGAUAUUUAUAAUUCAUUUUUGCCUUGCUGUCAAACAGUGGGUUUCUUUCUUUCUUUGUUUAACCAAUUAUGCCUGGUGUAUCAUAUACCAUUUUGUUUUAUGAUUUUAGGUUUUUUUUUUCUUUUUUCUAGAAUGUUCUAUUCUAGACUUGAUUGGUGUUUUAGUGUCGUUACAUUUUUGGAGACUUUUUAUGGGAUCACUAAGCUUUUUUCUUUUUACACAUUGGAUCAUUUUUCUCCAUCAUACAUACUAUCUGCUCAGUAUUUUCAACUCUAGAUUCUAAAAGAUACAUUUCAAAUUUAUUAUUUCUUGGAAACUAAGGUUUUUGCAGUAUAAAUUCUGCUCUUUAUGGCUUCCAAUGUAAACUGUAGUUCUUAAGAGUGCAUUUAUUGUUUGUCUGCCUCCUUUAGUUUUCAUCUAGACUUUUUCGCACUUUAGCCAGCGUUGUGCUUUAUGUCUUGUCUCAUUUUUUCGUCUCCUUCUCCCUCUCCGGAAGCCAUUGCUCUUACCAGGGGCACGUGGGACAGAUCAUUUUCCACCUGAGUUCUAGUAACUCAGUUCCACUUGGUAAGUUCUGUUCUUUACAGGCAUUAUACUUCAUCAAGUGCUUAGAAAAAUAAAACAAUAAAAACAAUGCUUACUUCAGAUGUCUUAAAAAAUGUUUCCUUGCCAUUUAUCGAUGUAUAUGCCAAACAUACAAUAUACUUACAUUCAUUUAUUAUUUAUAAACUUAGCAAAGGGGAUAUGUUCUGAGAAAUGCAUCAUUAGUGACUUCAUCAUUGUGCAAACAUCAUAGGAUGCAUUUCUACUAUGUGAUAAAUCUUAGGUACCAUCAUCAUGUAUGUGGCCUGUCAUUGACUGGAGCAUCAGUAUAAAGUGCAUGACAAUGUAUGCACACACAUGACACUUUCUUAAAAUUCAAAGGCAUGCUUUCUUUGUAUCUUUAGGCAAACUACAGUCCAUGGAUCAAAUCUGGGCUGUUCACUCAUUUUUUUAUAAAUAAAGUUUUAUUGGAACAGGGAUGCCCUCAUUCACAUACAUAUUGUCUGUGAUUCCUUGC
Molecule: long non-coding RNA, 3905 nt
Filed under: Marmota monax (woodchuck)
Lineage: Eukaryota; Metazoa; Chordata; Mammalia; Rodentia; Sciuridae
Source: RNAcentral